UCCAAAUCUCUAGUAAAUAACGUCAAACUUUAUAUACAACCUACUUAGACUAUUUCUAGUAAGUUCAAAUAAUACCCACUCCAAAUUUUUUACAAAAUCAUAUUCGAAAUUUAACAAGAUUAGCAUUAAAAGAGAUGAAAUUUUAGGUUUCUCGCGUCUGUUUUUGCGUUUUGUAGUUGUGAUAGGUAUGUAUAAACUUGAGAAAAAAAGAGAAUAAAAACUCACGAAUAUUUCACGCCUGAAGAUAUACAAAAUUUAAAAAAUGAAAAAAAAAUAAUUCCGAGAAGUAUUGAUUAUGGGAGAAGGCACGAAUGAGUGUUGACUGAGUGUCUCGAUCAAUGGUUACACUAAAAAUGGGGAACUAAAUUCCGUUUUCAUUUUUGUUUGCAUAUGAUUCUUAUUACCCGAGGGUGAUAGCCCUCAGUAUUCGAGGUCGAUUGUCGAGAGGGCUCGGAUACUGUUGAUGUGACUAUCGGUUCCGGUUCAUAACUGAUCUUUGAUCUUAAGUUAGCACGAUCCACUAUUGCCUCAUUAAAAACCUUGCCGGAAAAUCCAUUUGGGACAAAACCGGUUCAAGGGAAAAAGAGUGCAACGCGUGCUUUCAUUCCCAAUGGCUCCACCAUUCUUUGGUUAUUUCCUGCAAGUGUUAGUCCAAUUCGCAAUAUAUAUAUAUAAAACAAAAUUGGGGUCGUACCUUAGCAGUAGUAUCGUUUUAAGUAGGUCGCGUUCCUGUUGUUUGGAAGCUGCUCACUGUUCCCUGCUUUGGGUUUGUAUGAACAUUUACCGGUAAUCUCGAUAAUUUGAUAUGGACCUUCCUAGUUCGGUCCCAGCUUUCCUUCGUUCGGGUUCAGGGUGUUCAGUGUCACUUUUCUUAACACCAAGUCCCCGAUAUUGAAGUGUCGGAGGUUGGCUCUCCGGUUGUAAUACCUUUCGAUCCAUUAUUUUUGGGCGGCCAACCGAACGAGGGCGGCCUCGCUCCUCUCGUCCAAUAGUUCCAGGCUCGUGCUCAUGGCCUCACCGUUUAACUCUUCAGUCAUAUAUCGGAACCUAAAACUUGGUUCUCCUACCUCGACCGGUAUUAGUGCUUCGGCAUCAUAGACCAACGAGAAUGGGGUGGCUCGGGUACUAGAUUUUGAGGUCGUACGGUAUGCCCACAGGACUUCGGGCAAAAUUUCCUUCCAUUUUCGUUUGGCGUCGGUCGGUCUCUUCUUAAGGUUUUGGAGUAUGGUCUUGUUUCUAGAUUCCGCCUACCCAUUCCCACUAGGGUGGUAGGGUGUUGAAAAGAUCCUCUUGAUUUUAUGGUCUUCGAAAAAUUUGUUCACCUUACUACCGAUGAACUACUUCCCAUUGUCAUAUACGAUCUCGGCCGGCAUUCCGAACAGACAUAUUAUGUGGUCCCAAAUAAAAUCAAUAACUUCUUUCUCCCUGACUUUCUCAAAUGCCUCAGCUUUAACCCAUUUAGAAAAAUAGUUAGUCAUAAAUAAUAUAAAUUGAGCCUUACCGAGUGCCCAUGGCAGGGGACCAACGAUGUCCAUCCCCCAUUUCAUGAAUGACCAAGGUGACAAGACCGAAUGCAGUAGCUACCCGGGCUGGUGGAUCAUCGGUGUGUGCCUCUGACAGCCGUCGCAUCUCCGUACGAACCCCUUAGCAUCUUUCUCCAUAUCGAUCCAGUAAUAGCCGGCUCUCAUUUUUUAAGAACCAACGAUUCAGCCCCUGAGUGGUUUCCGCAGGUGCCUUUGUGAACUUCCAUCAAAACGUAUUCGGUGUCUCCCGGCCCCAGAUAUACGGCGAGUGGGCCAUCGAAUGUUCUUCUGAAUAGGGUGUUAUCUGCGGACAGGCUGAACCUGGCCGCCUUCUUGCACAAAGCUCUUGAUUCUUUAGGAUCCGAGGGUAGCUUCCCGGUCUUCAGGUAAUCUAUAUACUUGUUUCUCCAAUCCCAGGUUAAGCUUGUCGAGUUUAUCUCGACGUGGCCUUCUUCCACUACCGAUUUCAUGAGUUGUACGACUGUUCCCGAGUUGAAUUCAUCGUCAUCAACAGACGACCCCAAGUUAGCUAGAGCAUCGGCUUCACUAUUUUGAUCAUGGGGUACGUGUUGCAGGGUCCACUCCUUGAAUUGAUAUAGCGUUACCUUUAGUUUAUCCGGGUAUCUUCGCAUUCGUUCCUCUUUCACUUCGAACGUCCCAUUGACUUGAUUCACCACAAGGAGGGAAUCGCAUUUAGCUUUGAUCAUUUUGACCCCCGGGCUUUUAGCCAAUUCGAGACCUGCAAUCAUGGCCUCAUACUCGGCCUCAUUGUUAGUCAAUUUCAUAGUUCUAAUAGAUUGUCUAACUACGUUACCCGUGGUUGGAUUUAACAUGAUGCCAAGAUCAGACCCUUUUGCAUUCGAGGCACCAUCCGUAAAGAGGGUCCAGAUCCCCGAGGAAGUCUCCGAGUCCAACAGCAAUCCCCUUUCGAUUUUGGGUAUUAGGGUCGGCGUGAAGUCAGCCACGAAGUCUACCAAAAUUUGUGAUUUAAUGGCGGUUCGGGGUCGAUAUUCGAUAUGGUACCCGCUAAUUUCCAUGUCCCAUUUGGCCAAUCAUCCCGAGAGAUCGGGUUUAUGCAUUAUGUUUCUUAAUGGGUAAGUAGUUACGACACAUAUAGAAUGGCAUUAAAAUACGGCUUUAAGUUCUGGGAGGCGCUUAGCAAAGCGAGCAUCAAUUUCUCCAGGUGAGGACACCUAGUUUCGGCCUCGCCUAGAGUCCUACUAACAUAAUAGAUUAGAAAUUACGUACAUUCCUCUUCCCGGACUAGGACUCCACUUACCACUAUCUCGGAUGCCUCUAAGUACAGGUACAACUACUCGUUUGCCUUUGGAGUAUGAAGCAAAGGCGGGCUCGAAAGGUACCGCUUGAGUUCCUCCAAAGCUUAUUGGCACUCCGAGGUCCACGAGAAGUUAUUCUUCUUCUUUAAUAGCGAGAAGAACCGAUGGAUCUUAUCAGAGGACCUUGAAAUGAACCGUCCCAAGGCGACUAUGUGCCCGGUUAACCUUUGAACGACCUUGACAUUGUCCGCGACGGUGAUGCCUUCUAUGGCCUUGAUCUAGUCAGGAUUGAUCUCGAUUGCUCAAUUGGACACCAUAAAUUCGAGAAACUUUUCGGAUCUGACCCCGAAUGCGUAUUUCUCCGGGUUCGGCUUCAUAUUUUAUUUCUUCAGUAUCUUGAAGGUUUCCUGCAAAUGUUCCAAAUGGUCCUCUACUCGCAGGGACUUUACUAACAUGUCAUCAAUGUAAACCUCUAUCGAUUUUCCUAUUUGUUCUUCGAACAUCUGGUUUACUAGGCGUUGGUAAGUGGCAUCGACAUUCUUUAAUCCGAACGUCAUUACAUUAUAAUAAUAGGUGUCAUAUUUAAUGAUGAAGGAUGUUUUUCCUGAUCGCCCGGGUCCAUCCGGAUUUAGUUGUACCCAGAAUAGGCAUCAAGAAAGCUGAGGAUCUCGUGGCCGGCCGUCGCAUCGAUCAUGCGAUCAAUGUUGGGCCGAGGAAAAGAGUCCUUGGGUCAUGCCUUGUUCAGGUCUUUGUAGUCUACACACAUUCUUAAUUUAUUUCCCUUUGUAGGGACUACUACUACGUUUGCUAACCAAUAUGGGUACUUAACUUCCCAAAUAGAACCUAUUUUAAGGAGUUUAGAUACCUCAUCUUUGAUGAAUGCAUGCUUGACUUCGGACUGAGGCCUCUUCUUCUGCUUAACCGGGUGAAACUUCAGAUCCAAGCUCAGCUUAUGAGUAGUUAUUUCUGGCGGGAUCCCUGCCAUGUCAAGAUGGGACCAAGCGAAACAAUCAAUGUUAGCUAUAAGGAAUUCAAUGAGUUUUUUUUUUUGAGCUCGGGACUUAACCUCGUGCCCAGGAAUACCUUCCAAUCGGGCAGGUACUCGAUCAAUAUGACUUGCUCCAGCUCCUCAACCGUUGACUUGGUGGCAUCAGAAUUGUCAGGGGCUAUGAAAGACCUGAUAACUCCGUAGUCGUCAUCCUCGCCCGUCCCCUACUUUUCUGGUUCUGUCGGGGCCGGUGUCGGUGAUUGCUAUUUGAUUACUUCCUUGGUGGCCGAACUCGGGUUCUUUGAUGUCAAGAGUGCGGAUAUCGGGAUCACCUCAUCAACCGCGAACAUUUCUUUUGCGGUUGGUUGCUCUCCAUAAACUGUUUUAGAUCCUCCUGGUGUGGGGAAUUUCAACACCAGGUGCAAUGUCAAAGGUACUGCCUCAUGUUGUGAAUCCAUGGCCUCCCGAACAGAGCAUUGUAUCUCAUAUCUCCUUCGAUUACGUAGAACAUUAUUUCCUGAAUGGUUCUGGCGGUGUUUACCAGCAGGGUUAUCUCCCCUUUAGUGGUCUCAUAUGGCAUGUUAAACCCGUUUAAAACUUAGACGAAAGGCACAAUUUGGUCUGACCCAGUCGUUCCACGACCCUCGAUCUGAUGAUAUUGGCCGAGCUACCUGGAUCAAUUAGCACACACUUAACUCGAGAUUUGUUUAUGAGUACAGAUAUUACCAGUGCAUCAUUGUGUGGCUGCACGAUGCCUUCAGCAUCUUCAUCGUUGAAAGACUCGAUUCCCUCUGGUACGUAAUCUCGAGUCCAUUUUUCUCUUGUAAUGGACACUUUAGUGCACUUUAACAUCGGCCCCUGGGGAUGUCAACCCCACAAAUGAUCAUGUUAAUGACUUGCUGAGGUUCCUGUCACGACCCAAAUUUCCCUCCGUAGAAUGUCGUGAUGGGACCUAGUCUUAAGCACUAGGUAAGCCUAACACUUACUGAAUUAGUGGUAACUCAGCCAACAAUUAUUAAAUAUGAAAUAGAAAUUUUCUACAAUCCCAAAAUCGGUAAUACAAGUCACAAGCUCUACAGAGUUUACUAGAAAAAUCUCUAAAUAUAAAUGUUCCAGAAUAGAAUCAACAGUGCAUGAAAAAUAUCAGAAGGUGACUUUGGGCCUACAAACGCGACAUCAGGUAUACCUUAAGUCUCCACAAUAAUGUCCAAUCAAUUAGCCAGAUUAUCAACAACACUGAGGUACCUGGAUCUGCACAAAAAUAUGCAGAAGAGUAGUAUGAGUACACCACAGCGGUACCCAGUAAGUAUCGAACCUAACCUCGGUAGAAUAGUGAUAAGGCCAGGUCAAGACACCUACCGGACAUAUAAACCUGUACAAAAUACUACAUAAAUCCAACAAGGAAGGAAUAUCAAUGUAAGUCCAUUAACCGAAGAAUUUCCAAUUCAAAUCAAUAAUAAGAACAUGGAAUAACAACGAGAAAACAAUCAAGUAAUUACGCAACAACAUUGUCAGAGUACAAAUGACAUAUGAGUAGGUUCAAGUAAGGAAUCUGAUGACAAAUCAAUCAAUUAAAUUAUUUAUGAUGCACGUAAUUCAACAUAAAUUACCCGAGGUAUCACUUCUCGAAAUCUCAAUUCACGAUUCACAACUUUCAAAUUCUUACACAUGUGGCAUCUUGUGCCCACAUCUCCCAAAUUACUUUUUGCACCGCAAAAUCCUCGUGCUACCAUGUGUAUAAUUUUCAUAUCAAUAUCAACCAAGAUGACCAAUGAAUAAUUUAAACAUAAUUAAAUACAAUUUCUAAAUUAAAUGCAAUGAAACAUCAAAUGAAUCAUUAAACCAAUUUAGGAUUUAAAUAAGGUAAAAUAGUGGAGAGGUUGUACAAAUAGAAUAUCAAUUGAGUUUAGUUUAGAAGUAUAUGAGAUCCGAUAAAAUAUUAUAUUUAUACAAAAUAAGACAUUCAAUCAAGUUUUAAUGAAAUAAAUAUGGAAUUUAUUAAAGUAAAAUGAAAUAACAAAUUUUCACACAAUUUACACAACAAUAAGAUAAUGAGAGGGUUGAGACGUCAAUUACAUGAAAAAUAUAGUCACCAUUUAAAUUAGUAGACCUUCGAAUGAGGUAUGAGUUUUAUUUUUGAAAGACACACAAGUAGAACACCUUGAAAAUUCUUUCAUUUAUAUCUGCUAAAUUUUUCAGGAACUUAACGUAUCACAUAAAAUGCAUGACUCACAUAAGAAGUCCAUAUUAUUCUAUUUUUAAUAUAUUGACGGUUAAAUAAAUUAUAAUCAAAUACAAUGAGGUGAUUUAAGAAACCACAAUAACCGUCCUUACAUGAAAUGCAUCAUGAGAAUCACAAUCGAAUUAACCUUAAUACCACAAUAGUUUCAUAUUUGUUUAUUCGUUGCGGCGUGCAACCCGAUCUAACAAUAUAAUCUUGCAAAUAAAUUCUGUUACGGCGUGCAACCUGCUCCAACAAUAUAAUCUUUCAAAUAAAUUACGUUGCGGCGUGUAACCCGCUCCAACAAUAUAAUCCUUCAAAUAAAUUCUGUUGUGGCAUGCAACCCGCUCCAACAAUAUAAUCUUUCAAAUAAAUUCCGCAGCGGCGUGCAACUCGCUCCAAUAUCAACACAAAGUAAGCAACCAAUUUACAACCAACUACGGUAUACCACAAAGUAAAAAGGAAUAACGAGGCUACACAAAGAAGUCACAACCAAUGAAAAAGGCUACACGAUAGUUCACGAAAUAAAAUAGCAAGGAAGUGACAAUCCACAAGCCAAGGCACAAUUUAUGAGCAUCAACUGACAAUUAAGGCAUGUAUCAGGUAAAGCAUGAAUUCAACGAGUGGUUACAAUCAACAAUUGGCAUAUAAAGUGUUAUCGACAACAAAGAUGGAACAUGUGCUAACAAUUUCAAGUAAAGCACGUACAAACAACUAGAACACAAAAGAUGCAGUCAUGAAACAAUAGUUACAAUUAGUCACAUGAAGGGAGCCUAACAAACUAAAUCGGUCAAAUACCACAUAUAGGUUGUGUACCCACUCGUCACCUUGCGUACACGACCAUCCCAUAACACGAAUAACACAAUCAUCCCUAUUCCUAAGGGGUGGUUUCCCCCACACAAAGUUAGACAAGACACUUACCUUAACGAAGUAAGGCCGAUAUUCCAAAAUAGCCUUCUAGAUUGCAUUGAUCUCCAAACAGCUCAAAUCUAUCUAAAUUAAUUGUAUAACUUCAUUAAAAUUCAUCGAAAAUAAUUCUGGAUAAUAAAACGUUGAUUUAAAAAUUCACAUUAAAAAGUCAACCAAAGACAAUAGGAGGCUCGCCUAUUAGAACCCGAUAGAAUUUUCACGAAAUCCGAACACCCAUUCCGAUACGAGUUCAACCAUUCCAAUUUUACCAAAUUUCGAUAACGAAUCGACCUCCAAAUCUAAAAUUUUCGUUUUUGAAAGAUUUUGCAAAAAUCUCAAUUUCUUCCAUCAAAACUCGAAUUAAACGAUUAAUAUAACCAUAGAUUCAUGAAAUAUAAUCACUAGGGAGUCAAGAACACUUACCCCAAGUUGUGUGGUGAAAUUUGCCUUUGCAAAUCGCCCAAACCGAGCUCCCCAAGUCUAUUUUUGUCAAAAAUGGCAGAAAACCCCCGUUUAUAGAGCCUAUGAUGUUUGUAGCGCCACAGGUGGCGUGGGGCGCUGCCUGUGGCGCCGUUUCCAGAACUCCAAAAAUCCCAGCGCCAGGCAUAGUGCCCCACGCUACCCUGGACGCUGACGACGACGGAAAAUAUUUUCCGACACGGAAAUGGGCAUAACUCUGUCAUACGAUGUCCGAAUUUGACGAUUCUUUUUGCUAUGGCUCCAAAAUUUCAAUACGGAUCUAAUGCUUCAAUCAAAACUGAAUUUGGAGCUCAUUUUCUUGAUGUGUUACCACUUAUUCUUGAAGAAACGACGUCGAAACAUCCUAGAAAUAUCCAACCUCUACAUUCGAUGCCGAAACCUAUAAAAUCAAGUCCGAUUGACUUCAAAUUUUUGCACACAAGUCAUAAAUGACAUAAUGGACCUGUUCCAAUUUAUAGAAUCAAAUUUUGACCCCGAUAUCAAUAAAGUCAAUUCCCGGUCAAACUUUCUAAAAAUCUUCCAUUUUUCCAUCUUUCGCCAAAAUGCGUCAAAUUGCCCUACGGACUUUCAAAUCCACAUCCGAACAUACGCCUAAGUCCAAAAUUACCAUACAAAGCUAUUGAAAUCAUCAAAACUCCAUUCCGGAGUCAUUUGCACAAAAGUCGACUCUCCGGUCAACUCUUUUCUUUUAAGCUUCUUAAAUAAGAAUUGUUCUCCCAAUUUGAUCCCGGAUCGUCCGAAAACCAAACUCAACCACACACGCAAGUCAUAAUAUGUAUUACGAGGUUGAUCGAGAUCUUAAGCCACUGAACGGGACGCUAAUUCUAAAAAGCGACAAGUUGGGUCGUUACAUCCUCCACCUCUUAAACAAACGUUUGUCCUCGAACGUGCUAAGAAUUAUUUUGAUGUUAUCAAAUUGUUGAUUUCACUCUUACACAUACACUCGCGGGUGAUACCACAUCACCGCAACCAAUAUAGGUUCGACAACACCAUCUCAAUUGAGAUUAAUUUUCCUAUCCGCACUUAUAAACCGUAAAAGCAAUUUUCUUACACUCCAAUGAUUUUCAAAAGGGUCCGAUUUUCAUAUCAACACACGGUAUUAGUCUCAGCCGACUGUAACACACGUGCCUACGCUCGCAUGGCACAACCACAUAACGUAUCGCAACAUGCAUACGCCCAUAACUACAUCUCUGGUCAUAAUAGUUGUUCAUAACCAAUUACAGCAUCGUCGUUUAACUUCAUGUUAACAUAAAUCUCGUUUCAAACCUUCACAAUACUGACACCAAGACACGAGGCAUGAAGGCCUCAUAAUUAUUAGCCUUAAUUAAUGAGUGACAUUUAACGCCACCUGGGCACCCACCUCAUAGGAUAAAACUCAAUAAUUACAACACGAAUAUGGCAAAUUAUGCAGAGAUAAAUUCAUACAAGAAUUGUUAAAUAAACCUAACAUGCAUGACUCCCUAUUAAUACUAUAGUACAAAUUUAAUUUCACGAGGGAGAAUUUAAACACAUAAAGUUUCAUCACAAGGAUCUCAUCCUUAUAUAACUUCCACCGUGGCUUGUAGCCUGAUUUAAACAUAAUAAAUCAUAUUAAAAUGCGAGGAUCUUGUCCUCAGUUCUUAAUCACCAAUAAUAUUCGAAUCAUGCCAAUCAAAAUCUUUCCAUUUUCUUCUUUAAAAAUAAUUUAUGUUAAACAGAAUCACAACACAUAAUGAACCCCCAUACUGGUAGGGCAUAUAAUUCAUAAAAUUGUAAUCAAUUAUCCCGAAAUUACAUCAAAACACACUGUAGUGAGUAACAGGAAGUCACUUUUGGACUCAUAGCCCUCAAUAGUGUACAAAACAAAAAUGAUAGACACGGGCUAACACCAUCAAAUCUCCCAACAGGGACAAACACGGGAGUAGAGUACAAAUUCACAAACUCACCAUAUAAGGAGCACUAAAGAAGAUCUCACCUCGAUAAUCGGAAUCAAAUCAAAAUAAGAAUAGUGCUCCUGUAUUAUGAAUUAAAUCAUACCUAUAACGACACUAUCUAGUGUAAUGGCCUCAGCCAAUUCAUAGCAAUUAUAUCAACGGGCCGGGCCUCCACCUCUAGGACGCCUUCUAUCCGCAUGUCCUUUACCCCUAACUGAAUAUGUAGGUAGAGUACCAACUGAAAUGGAGCUCGUUGCUUGAGUGCUCUGAUGUAAUAUGUCUCUCCUAAGUCUGCGACAAUCUCUCAUGAUGUGCCUAAUAUCAUCACACUCAUAACAACCUAUCUGCGGUUUUGGCUGCUCAUACUGAGUCUGUGCCAGAUAACUCGAAUAACCAUUAUAGGAAUCUCGUGUCGGUAGUGCAGUAAAAGAACUUAAUGGUGCACCCUGAGUAAUCUGAUGCGCGGACUGAGCUGACCGACUGCUCCGGUCUCUGCCAUAAUGAGUUUUAGCUGUAGAGUAGCAUCCACUGAAUUCUCCAGAACCUCGAGACCUCUUGGUCUCCUUAGUUCCCUUUUUCCUCAACUCAAACAUGUUCUAACAUCUUGGCAAUUUCCACCACUUGCUGAAGUGAAGUAUCAGCUUGUAGCCCCCGAGUUAUACAGAAUCUAAGAUCAUAAUUGAGUCCUUUAAUGAAUCUGUGGACUCGUGCUCUGACUGUAGGAACCAAAGUAAGAGUAUGGCGGGCUAACUCUUUGAACCUGAUGGCUGAUAGCGUCAUGGUGAUCUGACGCAACCGUUCAAACUAUGUGCGCCACGUAUUCCAUAGAGUCUAGGGAACAAACUCCCUCAAAAACAUCUCUGAAAAUUGAGCCCAAGUAGAAGGUGUUGCAUUGGCUGGUCUGCCCUCUUCAUAGACUUGUCAUAAAUACCGGUGGAGAAUUAUCUCUCCAAAGGUCAAUUUCUUCCUUUUCUAUACUGACCCAACACCGUCAAGUUGACCCAUUUCUUCAUAUAUUCCUCGAUUCUUCCUUGGGGUAAUACCUCCCCCUAUUUGUACAUAACGAUCCCCAAAAGUAAAGCUCCGUACACACAAAUCUUGGCACGAACCACGUAGCCCAUAAGCUCAUCAACCACCGUACUUCCUCUGAAGCACUCCAUACUGCCGCAACCAAAACGUCCACGUUGAAUAGACCUUCUACAAAUCGGAAGUUGUUUCUCUAACUCUUUUGGUACUGAAGUAUACGAUUAUUAAGGAUGCAGUCAUACCGCGAGUCCCAGCAUUGUCACCUGCAAAAUCUCAAGCCUUAAACAAGUGCAAAUUUUUGGGGAACCUUUCAGUACCAUAUAUGUACAUCUCAGGCCAGAACUGAUUUAACACAUGACCCCGCAAUAUGUUCAUCUAUAGUAGACUCCAUCACUUGGCGUGCAGCCAUAGGCCACACCGUCCGAUGAUCCACAAUACUAACAUUUACAACUCGUACUCAUCAACUAGAUGCUAGAAUCCGCUGCACCCCCACGUAAAUCAAUGAGUGAUCCUUCAAUACAUCUGUAUCUUUAGUCGGGACCACACGUUGAGAUGAUGUUUGAGCAUCCCUGGCUCCCUCGUAGUCUAUCUGCGACAUCACGAACCGUCGGCGCACAACUGAUACCGAGUGCGCAAUGUCAUACACGAGUGGAUGUGAAUGAAUAUAGAUAUAUGCUUCAAGCUGAAUGAAUAUCGCACGAUAAGGAGUAAAAGAAGUAGAAUUUCCUAAUAGUUUUCGUAGCCUCUCGAAGAUAAGUACAGACAUCUCUGUACCGAUCCGCAAGACUCUACUAAACAUGCUUAUGACUUGUAGCACCCAUGAACCUAGAGCUUUGAUACCAACUUGUCACGACUCAAAUUUCUCUCCGUAAGAUGUCGUAAUGGCACCUAGUCUUAUGAACUAGGUAAGCCUAACACUUACUGAAUUAGUGGUAACUCGACCAACAAUUAUUAAAUAUGAAAUAGAAAUUAUCUACAAUCCCAAAAUCGGAAGUACAAGUCACAAGCUCUACAGAGUUUACUAGAAAAAUCUCUAAGUACAACUGUUCCAAAAUAGAAUCAACAGUGCAGGAAAAAUAUCAGAAUGUGACUUUGGGCCUGCGAACGCGACAGCAGGUAUACCUUAAGUCUCCAUAACAAUGUCCAAUCAAUUAGCCAGAUUAUCAACAACACUGAGGUACCUGGAUCAGCACAAAAAUAUGCAGAAGAGUAGUAUGAGUACACCACAGCGGUGCCCAGUAAGUAUCAAGCCUAAUAUCAGUAGAGUAGUGACUUGGCCAGGUCAAGACACCUACCGGACAUAUAAACUUGUACAAAAUACUACAUAAAGCUAACAAGGAAGGAAUAUCAAUGUAAGACCAUUAACCGAAGAAUUUCCAAUUCAAAUCAACAAUGAGAAUACGGAAUAACAACGAGAAAACAAUCAAGUAAGUACGCAAUAACAUAGUCAGAGUACACAUGACAUAUGAGUUAGUUCAAGUAAGGAAUCUUAUGACAAAUCAAUCAAUUAAAUUAUUUAUGAUGCAUGUAAUUCAACAUAUAUUACCCGAGGUAUCACUUCUCAAAAUCUCAAUUCAUGAUUCACAACUUUCAAAUUCUUACACAGGUGGCAUCUUGUGCCCACAUCUCCCAAAUCACUUUUUGCACGACAAAUCCUCAUGCUACCAUCUGUAUAAUUUCCGUAUCAAUAUCAACCAAGAUGACAAAUGAAUAAUUUAAACACAAUUAAAUAUAAUUUCCAAAUUAAAUGCAGUGAAACAUCAAAUGAGUCAUUAAAUCAAUUUAAGAUUUAAAUAAGGUAAAAUAGUGGAGAGAUUGUACAAAUAGAAUAUCAAUUGAGUUUAGUUUAGAAGUAUAUGAGAUCCGAUAAAAUGUUAUAUUUAUACAAAAUAAAACAUUCAAUCAAGUUUUAACGAAAUAAGUAUGAGAUUUAUUAAAAUAAAAUGAAAUAACAAUUUUCACGCAAUUUACACGACAAUAAGAUAAUGAGAGGGUUGAGACAUCAAUUAGAUGAAAAAUAUAGUCACCAUUUAAAUUAGUAGACCUUCGAAUGAGGUAUGAGUUUUAUUUUUGAAAGACACACAAGUGGAACAGAUUGAAAAUUCUUUCAUUUAUAUCUGCUAAAUUUUUCAGCAACUUAACGUAUCACAUAAAAUGCAUGACUCACAUAAGAAGUCAAAAUUAUUCCAUUUUUAAUAUAUUGACAGAUAAAUAAAUUAUAAUCAAAUAUAGUGAGGUAAUUUAAGAAACCACAAUAAGCGUCCUAACAUGAAAUGCAUCAUGAGAAUCACAAUCGGAAUUAACCUUAAUACCACAAUAGUUUCAUAUUUGUUCAUUCGUUGCGGCGUGCAACCCGAUCCAACAAUAUAAUUUUUCAAAUAAAUUUUGUUACGGCGUGCAACCAGUUCCAACAAUAUAAUCUUUCAAAUAAAUUACGUUGUGGCGUGCAAUCCACUCCAACAAUAUAAUCCUUCAAAUAAAUUUNNNNNNNNNNNNNNNNNNNNNNNNNACACCGGCCUUCACAUAACACGAAUAACACAAUCAUCCCAUAUUCCUAAGGGGUGGUUUCCCUCCCCCCCCCCCCCCCAUAAAGUUAGACAAGACACUUAUCUUAACGAAAUUAGGCCGAUAUUUCAAAAUAGCCUUCUAGCUUAAAUUUAUCUCCAAACAGCUCAAAUCUAUCCAAAUUAAUUGUAUAACUUUAUUAAAAUUCAUCGGAAACAAUUUCGGAUAAUAAAAUAUCGACUUAAAAUUUCACAUUAAAAAGUCAACCAAAGUCAACGCAAGGCCCGCCUCUCGGAACCCGAUAGAAUUUUUAUGAAAUUCAAACAUUCAUUCCGAUACGAGUUCAACAUACCAAUUUUACCAAAUUCCGAUAACGAAUCGACCUCCAAAUCUAAAAAUUUUAUUUUUGAUAGAUUUUGCAAAAAUCUCAAUUUCUUCAAUCAAAACUCGAAUUAAACAAUAAAUAUAACCAUAGAUUCAUGAAAUAUAAUCACAAGGGAGUCAAGAACACUUACCCCAAGUUUUGUGAUGAAAUUUGCCUCUGAAAAUCGCCCAAACCGAGUUCCCCAAGUCUAUUUUUGUCAAAAAUGGCAGAAAACCCCCGUUUAUAGAACCCCUGAAGUUUGUAUCACCACAGGUGGCGUGGGGCGCUGCCUGUGGCGCCGUUUCCAUAAAUCCUAAAAUCCCAGUGCCAGGGAUAGCACCCCACGCUACCCUGGACGCUGACGACGACGGAAAAUAUUUUCCGACAAGGAAAUGGGCAUAACUCUCUCAUACGAUGUCCGAAUUUGACGAUUCUUUUUGCUAUGGCUCCGAAAUUUCAAUACAAAUCUAAUGCUUCAAUCAAAAUUGAAUUUUGGAGCUCAUUUACUUAAUUUGAUACCACUUAUUCUUGAAGAAACGACGUCAAAACAUCCUAGAAAUAUCCAACCUCUACAUUCGAUAUCGAAGCCUAUCAAAUCAAGUCCGAUUGACUUCAAAUUUUUGCACACAAGUCAUAAAAUACAUAGUGGACCUAUUCCAAUUUCCUAAAUCGAAUUUCGACCCCGAUAUCAAUAAAGUCAAUUCCCGGUCAAACUUUCUAAAAAUCUUCCAUUUUUCCAACAUUCGCCAAAAUGCGUCAAAUUGUCGUACGGACUUCCAAAUUCACAUCUGGACAUACGCCUAAGUCCGAAAUCGCCAUACGAAUCUAUUAGAAUUAUCAAAACUCCAUUCCGAAGUCAUUUGCACAAAAGUCGACUCUCCGGUCAACUCUUUUCUUUUAAGCUUCUUAAAUAAGAAUUGUUCUCCCAAUUUGAUCCCGAAUCGGCCGAAAACCAAACUCAACCACACACGUAAGUCAUAAUAUGUAUUACGAGGUUGCUCGAGAUCUUAAGCCGUUGAACGAGAUGCUAAUUCUCAAAACGACAAGUCGGGUCGUUACAUCCUCCACCUCUUAAACAAACGUUCAUCCUCGAACGUGCUAAGAAUUAUUAUGAGGUUAUCAAAUUGUUGAUUUCACUCUUACACAUACACUCGCGGGGUGAUACCACAUCACCGCAACCAACAUAGGUUCGACAACACCAUCUCAAUUGAGAUUAAUUUUUCUAUCCGCACUUAUAAACCUUAAAACCAACUUUCUUACACUCCAAUCAUUUUCAAAAGGGUCCGAUUUUCAUAUCAACACACGGUAUUAGUCUCAGGCGACUGUAACAACCCGUGCCUACGCUCGCAAGGCACAACCACAUAACGUGUCGCAACAUGCAUACGCCCAUAACCACAUCUCUGGUCAUAAUAGUUGUUCAUAACCAAUUACAGCAUCGUUGUUUAACUUCAUGUUAACAUAAAUCUCGUUUCAAACCUUCACAAUACUGACAACGAGACACGGGGCAUUAAGGCCUCAUAAUUAUUUACCUAAAUUAAUGAGUCACAUUUAACGCCACCUGGGUACCCACCUCAUAGGAUAAAACUCAAUAAUUACAACACGAAUAUGGCAAAUUAUGCACAGAUAAAUUCAUACAAGAAUUUUCAAAUAAACCUAACAAGCAUGAUUCCCUAUUAGUAUUAUAGUACAAAUUUAAUUUCACAAGGGAGAAUUUAAACACAUAAAGUUUUAUCACAAGGAUCUCGUCCUUUUAUAACUUCCAUCGUGGCUUGUAUCCCAGUUUAAACAUAAUAAAUCAUAUUAAAAUGUGAGGAUCUCGUCCUCAGUUCUGAAUCACCAGUAAUAUGCACAUUGUGCCAAUCAAAAUCUUUCCAUUUUCUUCUUUAAAAAUAAUUUAUGUUAAAUAGAAUCACAACAUAUAAUGAACCCCCAUACUGGUAGGGCAUAUAAUUCAUAAAAUUAUAAUCAAUUAUCCCGAAAUUACAUCAAAACCCACUGUAGUGAGUAACAGGAAGUCACUUUUGGACUCAUAGCCCUCAAUAGUGUACAAAACAAAAAUGAUAGACACGGGCUAACACCAUCAAAUCUCCCAACAAGGAUAAACACGAGAGUAGAGUACAAAUUCACAAACUCACCAUAUAAGGAGCACUAAAGGAGAUCUCACCUCGAUAACCGGAAUCAAAUCAAAAUAAGAAUAGUGCUCCUGUAUUAUGAAUUAAAUCAUACCUAUAAUGACACCAUCUAGUGUAAUGGCCUCAGCCAAUUCAUAGCAAUUAUAUCAACGGGUCGGGCCUCCACCUCUAGGACACCUUAUAUCUGCAUGUCCUUCACCCCUAACUGAAUAUGUAGGUAAAAUACCAAAUAAAAUGGAGCUCGUUGCUUGAGUGCUCUAAUGUAAUAUAUAUAUCUCCCAAGUCUGGGACAAUCUCUCAUGAUGUGCCUAGUAUCAUCACAUUCAUAACAACCCAUCUGCGGUUUCGGCUGCUUAUACUGAGUCUGUGCCUGAUAACUCGAAUAACCAUUAUAGGAAUCUCGUGUUGGUGGUGCAGUAAAAGAACUUACUGGAGUACCUCGAGUAAUCUGAUGUGCGGACUGAGCUGACAGACUGCUCCAGUCUCCACCAUAAUGAGUUAUAGCUACAGAGUAGCAUCCACUGAAUUCUCCAGAACCUUGAGACCUCUUAGUCUCCUUAGUUCCCUUUUUCCUCAACUCAAACACGUUCUAACAUCUUGGCAAUUUUCACCACUUGUUGAAGUGAUGUAUCAGCUUGUAGCCCCCGAGCCAUACACAAUCUAAGAUCAUAACUGAGUCCUUUAAUAAAUUUGUGGACUCGCUCUAUGGCUGUAGGAACCAAAGUAAGUGUAUGACGGGCUAACUCUUUGAAGCUGAUGGCAUAUUCUGACACCGUCAUGGUGUUCUGACGCAAUAGUUCAAACUCGAUGUGCCACGCAUUCCGUAGAGUCUAGGGAACAAACUCCCUCAAAAACAUCUCUAAAAAUUGAGCCCAAGUAGGUGGUGUUUCAUUGGCUGGUCUGCCCUCUUCAGAGACUUGCCACAAACACCGGUGGAGAAUUAUCUCUCCAAAGGUCAAUUUCUUCCUUUGCUAUGCUAACCCAACACCGCUGAGUUAACCCAUUUCUUCACAUAUUCCUCGAUUCUUCCUUGGGGUAAUACUUCCCCCUAUUUGUACACAACGAUCCCCAAAAGUAAAGCUCCGUACCGACAAAUCUUGGCACGAACCACGUAGCCCAUAAGCUCAUCAACCAUUGUACUUCCUCUAAAGCACUCCAUACUGCCGCAACCGAAACGUCCACGUUGAAUAGACCUUCUAUAAAUCGGAAGUGGUUUCUCUAACUCCUUUGGUACUGAAGUAUAGGAUUAUUAAGGACGCAGUCAUACUGCGAGUCCCAACAUUGUCAGCUGCAAAAUCUCAAGCCUUAAACAUGUGCAAAGUUUUGGGGAACCUUUCAGUGCCACAUAUGUACAUAUCAGGCCAGAACUGAUAUAAAACAUGACCCCGCAAUAUGUUCGUCUAUAGUAGACUCCCCCACUUGGCGUGAAGCCAUAGGCCACAACGUUCGAUGAUCCACAAUACUAACCUUCACAACUUGUACUCAUCAACCAAAUGCAAGAAUCCGUUGCACCCCCACGUAAAUCAAUGAGUGAUCCUCCAAUACAUCUGCAUCUUCAGUUGGGACCACACGUUGAGACGAUAUUUGAGCAUCCCCGGCUCCCUCGUAGUCUAUCUGCGACAUCACGAACCAUCGGCGCACAACUGAUACCGAGUGCGCAAUGUCAUACGCGAGUGGAUGUGAAUGAAUAUAGAUAUAUGCUUCAAGCUAAAUCAAUAUCGCACGAUAGGGAAUAAAAGAAGUAGAAUUUUCUAAUAGUUUUUGUAGCCUCUCGAAGAUAAGUACAGACGUCUCCGGACCGAUCCGCAAGACUCUACUAAACAUGUUUGUGACUUGUAGCACCCAUGAACCUCGAGCUCUGAUAUCAACUUGUCACGACUCAAAUUUUCCUCUGUAGGAUGUCGUGAUGGCAUCUAGUCUUAAGGACUAGGUAAGCCUAACACUUACUGAAUUAGUGAUAACUCGACCAACAAUUAUUAAAUAUGAAAUAGAAAUUUUCUACAAUCCCAAAACCGGUAGUACAAGUCACAAGCUCUAUAGAGUUUACUAGAAAAAUCUCUAAAUACAAUUAUUCCAUAAUAGAAUCAACAGUGCAGGAAAAAUAUCAGAAGGUGAAUUUGAGCCUGCGAACGCGUCAGCAGUUAUACCUUAAGUCUCCACAACAAUGCCCAAUCGAUUAGCCAGAUUAUCAACAACACUGAGGUACCUGGAUCUGCACAAAAAUGUGCAGAAGAGUAGUAUGAGUAUACCACAGCGGUACCCAGUAAGUAUCAAGCCUAACUUCGGUAGAGUAGUGACGAGGCCAUGUCAAGACACCUACCGGACAUAUAAACCUGUACAAAAUACUACAUAAAGCCAACAAGGAAGGAAUAUCAAUGUAAGGCCAUUAACCGAAGAAUUUCCAAUUCAAAUCAACAAUGAGAACACGGAAUAACAACGAGAAAACAAUCAAGUAAUUACGCAACAACAUAGUCAGAGUACAAAUGACAUAUGAGUAGGUUCAAGUAAGGAAUCUUAUGACAAAUCAAUCAAUUAAAUUAUUUAUGAUGCAUGUAAUUCAACAUAAAUUACCCGAGGUAUCACUUCUCAAAAUCUCAAUUCAUGAUUCACAACUUUCAAAUUCUUAAACAGGUGGCAUUUUGUGCCCACAUCUCCCAAAUCAGUUUUUGCACGGCAAAUCCUUGUACUACCAUCUGUAUAAUUUCCGUAUCAAUAUCAACCAAGAUGACCAAUGAAUAAUUUAAACACAAUUAAAUAUAAUUUCCAAAUUAAAUGCAGUGAAAUAUCAAAUAAGUCAUUAAAUCAAUUUAAGAUUUAAAUAAGGUAAAAUAGUUGAGAGAUUGUACAAAUAGAAUAUCAAUUGAGUUUAGUUUAGAAGUAUAUGAGAUCCGAUAAAAUGUUAUAUUUAUACAAAAUAAGACAUUCAAUCAAGUUUUAACGAAAUAAGUAUGAGAUUUAUUAAAAUAAAAUGAAAUAAUAAUUUUCACGCAAUUUACACGACAAUAAGAUAAUGAGAGGGUUGAGACAUCAAUUAGAUGAAAAAUAUAGUCACCAUUUAAAUUAGUAGACCUUCGAAUAAGGUAUGAGUUUCAUUUUUGAAAGACACACAAGUGGAACAGCUUGAAAAUUCUUUCAUUUAUAUCUGCUAAAUUUUUCAGCAACUUAACGUAUCACAUAAAAUGCAUGACUCACACAAGAAGUCCAUAUUAUUCCAUUUUUAAUAUAUUGACAGAUAAAUAAAUUAUAAUCAAAUAUAGUGAGGUAAUUUAAGAAACCACAAUAAGCGUCCUAACAUGAAAUGCAUCAUGAGAAUCACAAUUGGAAUUAACCUUAAUACCACAAUAGUUUCAUAUUUGUUCAUUCGUUGCAGCGUGCAACCCGAUUCAACAAUAUAAUCUUGUAAAUAAAUUUCGUUGCGGCGUGCAACCCGAUCCAACAAUAUAAUUUUUCAAAUAAAUUUUGUUACGGCGUACAACCAGUUCCAACAAUAUAAUCUUUCAAAUAAAUUACGUUGCGGCGUGCAAUCCGCUCCAACAAUAUAAUCCUUCAAAUAAAUUNNNNNNNNNNNNNNNNNNNNNNNNNCCGUUGCGGCGUGCAACCCUCUCCAACAAUAUAAUCUUUCAAAUAUAUUCCGCUGCGGCGUGCAACCCGUUCUAACAUCAACACAAAUAAAGCAACCAAUUUACAACCAACUACGGUAUACCACAAAGUAAAAAGGAAUAAUGAGGCUACACAAAGAUGUCACAACCAAUGAAAAAGGCUACACGAUAGUUCACGAAAUAAAAUAGUAAGGAAGUGACAAUCCACAAGCCAAGGCACAAUUUAUGAGCAUCAACUGACAAUUAAGGUAUGUAUCAGGUAAAGCAUGAAUUCAACGAGUGGUUACAAUCAACAAUUGGCAUAUAAGGUGUUAUCGACAACAAAGAUGGAACAUGUGCUAACAAUUUCAAGUAAAGCACGUACAAACAACUAGAACACAAAAGAUGCAGUCAUGAAACAAUAGUUACAAUUAGUCACAUGAAGGGAGCCUAACAAACAAAAUCGGUCAAAUACCACAUAUAGGUUGUGUACCCACUUGUCACCUUGCGUACACGGCCUUCACAUAACACGAAUAACACAAUCAUCCCUAUUCCUAAGGGGUGGUUUCCCCCACACAAAGUUAGACAAGACACUUAUCUUAACGAAGUUAGGCCGAUAUUUUAAAAAAGCCUUCUAGCUUGAAUUGAUCUCCAAACAGCUCAAAUCUAUCCAAAUUAAUUGUAUAACUUUAUUAAAAUUCAUCGAAAAUAAUUUCGGAUAAUAAAAUAUCGACUUAAAAUUUCACAUUAAAAAGUCAACCAAAGUCAACGCAAGGCCCGCCUCUCGUGACCCGAUAGAAUUUUUACGAAAUUCAAACACUCAUUCCGAUACGAGUUCAACCAUACCAAUCUUACCAAAUUCCGAUAACGAAUCGACCUCCAAAUCUAAAAAUUUUAUUUUUGAAAGAUUUUGCAAAAAUCUCAAUUUCUUCCAUCAAAACUCGAAUUAAACGAUAAAUAUAACCAUAGAUUCAUGAAAUAUAAUCACAAGGGAGUCAAGAACACUUACCCCAAGUUUUGUGAUGAAAUUUGCCUCUGAAAAUCGCCCAAACCGAGUUCCCCAAGUCUAUUUUUGUCAAAAAUGGCAGAAAACCCCUGUUUAUAGAACCUCUGAAGUUUGUAUCACCACAGGUGGCGUGGGGCACUGCCUGUGGCGCCGUUUCCAUAACUUCUAAAAUCCCAGCGCCAGGGAUAGCACCCCAUGCUACCUUGGACACUGACGACGACGGAAAAUAUUUUCCGACAAGGAAAUGGGCAUAACUCUCUCAUACGAUGUCCGAAUUUGACGAUUCUUUUUGCUAUGGCUCCGAAAUUUCAAUACAAAUCUAAUGCUUCAAUCAAAAUUGAAUUUUGGAGCUCAUUUUCUUAAUUUUAUAACACUUAUUCUUGAAGAAACGACGUCAAAACAUCCUAGAAAUAUCCAACCUCUACAUUCGAUAUCGAAGCCUAUCAAAUCAAGUCCGAUUGACUUCAAAUUUUUGCACACAAGUCAUAAAAGACAUAAUGGACCUAUUCCAAUUUCCUAAAUCGAAUUUCGACCCCGAUAUCAAUAAAGUCAAUUCCCGGUCAAACUUUCUAAAAAUCUUCCAUUUUUCCAACAUUCGCCAAAAUGCGUCAAAUUAUCGUACGGACUUCCAAAUUCACAUCCGGACAUACGCCUAAGUCCGAAAUCGCCAUACGAAUCUAUUAGAAUCAUCAAAACUCUAUUCUGAAGUCAUUUGCACAAAAGUCGACUCUCCGGUCAACUCUUUUCUUUUAAGAUUCUUAAAUAAGAAUUGUUCUCCCAAUUUGAUCCCAAAUCGGCCGAAAACCAAACUCAACCAUACACGCAAGUCAUAAUAUGUAUUAUGAGGUUGCUCGAGAUCUUAAGCCGUUGAACGGGAUGCUAAUUCUCAAAACGACAAGUCGGGUCGUUACAUCCUCCACCUCUUAAACAAACGUUCAUCCUCGAACGUGCUAAGAAUUAUUAUGAGGUUAUCAAAUUGCUGAUUUCACUCUUACACAUAUACUCGCGGGUGAUGCCACAUCACCGCAACUAACAUAGGUUCGACAACACCAUCUCAAUUGAGAUUAAUUUUUCUAUCCGCACUUAUAAACCUUAAAACCAACUUUCUUACACUCCAAUUAUUUUUAAAAGGGUCCGAUUUUCAUAUCAACGCACGGUAUUAGUCUCAGGCGACUGUAACAACCCGUGCCUACGCUCGCAAGGCACAAACACAUAACAUGUCGCAACAUGCAUACGCCCAUAACCACAUCUCUAGUCAUAAUAGUUAUUCAUAACCAAUUACAGCAUCGUCGUUUAACUUCAUGUUAACAUAAAUCUCGUUUCAAACCUUCAAAUUUCGAUAACGAAUCGACCUCCAAAUCUAAAAAUUUGUUUUUGAAAGAUUUGGCAAAAAUCUCAAUUUCUUCCAUCAAAACUCGAAUUAAAUGAUAAAUAUAACCAUAGAUUCAUGAAAUAUAAUCACAAGGGAGUCAAGAACACUUACCCCAAGUUUUGUGAUGAAAUUUGCCUCUCAACAUCGCCCAAACCGAGCUCCUGAGUCUAUUUUUUUCAAAAAUGGCAGAAAACCCCCGUUUAUAGAACCUCUGAUGUUUGUAUCUCCACAGGUGGUGUGGGGCGCUGCCUGUGGCGCCGUUUCCAGAACUUCAAAAAUUCCAGUGCCAGGGAUAGCGCCCCACGCUACCCUGGACGCUAACGACAACGGAAAAUAUUUUCCGACAAGGAAAUAGGCAUAACUCUCUCAUACGAUGUCCGAAAUUGACGAUUCUUUUUGCUAUGGUUUCAAAAUUUCAAUACGGAUCUAAUGGUAUAAUAAAAACUAAAUUUGGAGCUAAUUUGCUUAAUGUUAUACCACUUAUUCUUGAAGAAACGACGUCGAAACAUCCUAGAAAUAUCCAACCUCUACAUUCGAUGUCGAAACCUAUCAAAUCAAGUCCGAUUGAUUUCAUAUUUUUACACACAAGUCAUAAAUGAUAUAAUGGACAUAUUCCAACUUUCAUAAUCGAAUUUUGACCCCGAUAUCAAUAAAGUCAAUUUCCGGUCAAACUUUCUAAAAAUCUUCCAUUUUUCUAACUUUCGCCAAAAUGCGUCAAAUUGCCCUACGAAUUUUCAAAUCCACAUCCGGACAUACGCCUAUGUCCGAAAUUACCAAACGAAGUUACUGGAACCAUCAAAACUCCAUUCCGGAGUCGUUUGCACAAAAGUCGACUCUCCGGUCAACUCUUUUCUUUUAAGCUUCUUAAAUAAGAAUGGUUCUCCAAAUUUGAUCCUGAAUCGUCCGAAAACCAAACUCAACCAUACACGCAAGUCAUAAUGCGUAUUACGAGGUUGCUUGAGAUCUUAAGCCACUGAACGAGAUGCUAAUUCUCAAAAUGACAAGUCGGCUCGUUACUGUUCCUCUUGCUCGAUGUGCUUGUUGGAGUCUCUAUUCCUGAAGUGAUUUUUGGCUUGAUCACUCAGAAACUCUCGGAGGUAUCUGUUGUUGAAUAAUCGGGCUACUUCCUCUCUCAAUUGUCGGAAGUCUUCGGUUUUGUGGCCAUGAGUGCCAUGAUAUUUACACAUUAGGUUGGGGUCCCUUUGGGCAGGAUUGGAUUUCAAUGGUCGAGGCCACUUAGUAUCUUUGAUGCGUCUGAUGGCUGAUACGAUAGCGGCAACGUCGAUGUUGAAGUUGUACUCUGAUAACCUUGGUGCUUCCUUAAACCCGAUGGGUCUGUCAAAACCGCUUUUACCCGUGAGUCCCCGGUUAUUCUAACUUCGGUUGCUCCUUCUUUCACUUCUUACAAUGUUGCGUCUGGACCCAUUGCCUUUUUGAUCUCCACUAUAUGGUUGAUACUGGUCUCUAUUCAAUCUUGGUUCACGAUCAAUGUCUCUCUUGGAUCUGUCACCAGUUUUGACGGGAUAAAUGGACCCGGAAGGGGCCCCUAGCUUAUCAUCUUCGACCCUAAUUUUUGAUUGGUACCGGUUAUGGACAUCGGCCCAAGUUAGUGUCGGGUAUUCUAUCAGAUUUUUCUUCGAGUGCAGUGAAGCCAACGAGCUUCGGGGAUUGAGUCCUUGGGUGAAGGCCUGAACGGCCCAAUCAUCUGCGACCGGAGGCAGUUCUAUCCGUUCUAUUUGAAACCUCGAUACGAACUCCUUAAGCAUCUCGUUAUCUCUUUGUUUUACCUUGAAAAGGUCCGAUUUCCUGGUCUCGACCUUGAUGGCCCAGCGUGCGCAUUUACAAAGGCGCCUGCAAGCAUAGCAAACGAGUCAAUGAAAUUAGGGGUAAGUUGUGAUACCAUAUCAUAUCUCCUUUCGACAAGGUCUCUCUAAACUUUUUCAACAUGACGGAUUCGAUUUCAUCAUCUUCCAAGUCGUUUCCUUUGAUGGAGCACGUAUAAGAGGUCGCAUGUUCGUUAGGAUCAGUUGUCCCAUUAUACUUCGGAAUUUCGGACAUACAGAACUUUUUUGGGAUCGACUUCGGAGCUGUGCUCGGAAGGAAAGGCUUUUGGACAUUUUUUUUGGAAUCCAGGCCCGUCAGUAUCGGUGGUGCUCCUGGGAUUUGGUCGGCCCUGGAGAAAUAGGUCUCUACUUUUUUGUCGUUGGCUUCGAUUUUCUUUUCUCCCGAUUUCACCUGCUUUAUCAGUUCCUCAAGCAUCUUUAUUAUCUCGGGAUUGGUCCCGAGUUCUGCUUCAUCCGGCCUUUCCGUGGCCGGUUCAUUUCUGCGGGAGCUUUCCCGGGACGAUUCGGGCUCAACUCUAUUGGGGGCUCGGCUUUGGUUUUGUAACUGUGCUAUCGCUGCAUGUUGAGCCUGUAACAUUUCGAAGAUCAUGCGCAAGUUGAUCUCGUCACCUUCGCCCUCAUGUGUAUUCCGAGCUGUUGACCAGGCUCCCCCGCUAAUGUUGUUUUCGAGGUCAGUAGGCAAGUUUGCUUCGACAACCGCAUGUGAGUUAGCAUCAAUCGGAUCAGCGACCGGGACUCCGUUGAGGUCAGCUGGGGGCACCUCGUUGCUGGGUACCAUGUUGUUAUUUUCGCCAUGGUGGCCGGAUUUAGCAUUCACGUUCAAAUGGGCAGACUGGGAGUUCGACAUUUUUAAUCUGACCUGAAAUUCAAAGCUCAAAGAACAAGUGUAAAAUAGAGUGUGUUAUGAAAAUUUGUAUCAAAUUGCCAGUAUUAUCCUUAGCCCCACGGUUGGCGCCAAACUGUUUACCCUAAAAACGGAUAACAAUUAAAUUUAUAUGCGGUUUUAAGGAUAAACGGAUUAAUUCAAUACAAACGAAAAAUUACGUUAGAUAAAACAGAUGGAGGGCGUAAUUGAUUGUCAAACCACUUAAGGGGGUGAUUUUGGACUCAAUAACAGCCUUAAUGAGAUGCAUGUCCUCUAUUCCGGACUCACAAUAACGAAGCACUGAUGAACAAGAGUAAGAACUUUGAAUAACAGAGAAAAUAAGAGUAUAUUGCCUUGAUAUGCGUGUUACAGUGUGGUCAAUGAAUAAUUAGACCCCCCUUUAUAUAGUAGAAAAGUUUUACCCUAAGUAUAAUUCCAUAAAAGGUAAAAAUCUUCUGUUUAACUAAUCACCGGUUCUCUGCCGAUACGUGCCGAGAUCCAUGCCGUGAUAUCCGGCUGGUCACGAAUAUCACGGCAUUUUGUUGGUCGUGCUCGAUUACUUGGUAGUACUCUACGAGGCCUUUGGGAUUCGAACCGAACUCGGGGUCAUGGCCCCGAUACUCCCAAGGUCGGGUGUUUUGCCCGGACCCCGACUCAAGGGGCUCCUUGUCUCGAUUCUGGUUCCUUGCCGUCACGUCUCUUGCUCUGUUUGCUUCAUCGGAAGCCGAGGCGUCUCAUGGGCUCGGUUUUACCCGUAUACAAUAAUAUAAACUCUUUAAGAGCAACUUCAUGGGGACUACUCUUAUGCUUCUAGUAGAAACGAUAUCAAAAUCAACAUUUAAGAAUGUGGCUUAAAGGUCAAAGAGGUGAAUACUUCAAAGAUCAACGUUCAAAUUCCAGCAAGGUUAAAAAUAAUUAGAUACUAUUUGGUGAUUUCAUGUCCUCUUCGAACACUACCAAUAAGAAAAGAAACAGUCUUAUGUACAUGAUUUUUAUCUAGCGGAAAAAUGUUUAAAUUACCCUUUUACUAUGCAAAAAUGAUCAUUUUUGCAUCACUUUUGCAUAGUCGGUGUCAAUAAUAUGCCAAAAGUAAAUGAUUCUAUUUGCAUAGUUGAGGAAUAUUCUUAGCCAUUUUUCCUUUUAUCUAACCUUCAUGUAUUGAAAAAUGUUAAAGGCCAUUAAUGUUGCUGGGUCCGACCUGAGAAUUGACAUAAUUCAUGCAAGGCAGUUGAAAGGGAAGCAAAACAAAGUGCCUUAUAAGACAAAAAUGUUUCUUUGGGAAGUGAAACGCCCAUAAAUGGCUGAUGCAGGAUGCAGCUCCAUAUUCCCAUACUAAAUCUGAAUCUUCACGUUAUUCUUCCGGUCCAACUUAUGGAGUUACGUUCAGCAGAAAUUUUAAUUGAACUAGAUGAGUAUUGCCCGUGCUACUAUUAGAAAUUCGACAAAAAUCGACCACAGUCGAUCGAUCAAAAAAUCGACCCACUUUGAUCGGUUUUCAAAAUAUUUUUUUUUUUUUACGAAACCGACCAACUUUUAUCGAUUUUCUUUGGCGCAAAAAUACGAUAAACUAUUUUUGAGUCCCAGCAAAAUUUAUUUUUCAAGAAACCGACCAACUUUGGUCGGUUUUUCAUUUAAAAUAAAUUAAUACUAAUAUUAAAAAAAACCGACCAAAAUCGAUCGAUUAAUUCGGCCGGUCAUUUUUAAAAACCGACCGAAUUCNNNNNNNNNNNNNNNNNNNNNNNNNNNNNNNNNNNNNNNNNNNNNNNNNNNNNNNNNNNNNNNNNNNNNNNNNNNNNNNNNNNNNNNNNNNNNNNNNNNNNNNNNNNNNNNNNNNNNNNNNNNNNNNNNNNNNNNNNNNNNNNNNNNNNNNNNNNNNNNNNNNNNNNNNNNNNNNNNNNNNNNNNNNNNNNNNNNNNNNNNNNNNNNNNNNNNNNNNNNNNNNNNNNNNNNNNNNNNNNNNNNNNNNNNNNNNNNNNNNNNNNNNNNNNNNNNNNNNNNNNNNNNNNNNNNNNNNNNNNNNNNNNNNNNNNNNNNNNNNNNNNNNNNNNNNNNNNNNNNNNNNNNNNNNNNNNNNNNNNNNNNNNNNNNNNNNNNNNNNNNNNNNNNNAGAGUAUAAAUGAAAUAAAAGACAGUCUUAAAAUAAAAUGCACCAAUGGUCUAGUAAUAGAAUAGUAUCCUACCACAGUACAGACCCCGAUUUGAUUCCCAGAUGGUGCUUUUUUUAAUUACAUAAUUAAAAUACUGACCAACUUUGGUUGGAAAAAAUCGAUCAACUUUGGUCGAUUUUUUCGGCAAUUUUUUUUUUAAAUUUAAUUGACCGACCAAAGUUGGUCGGUAAUUUCCGACCAACUUUGGUCGGUAGGCCCUUCCGAUCUUCAAAAUACCGUUCACACGUAAAUGAUCACGUUUUGGAUAAUUUUUGGCCAUUACCAACCCACUUUGAUCGAUUUUUUUUAGACGAUUUUGUCCGAAUUUUUUGUAGUGAUAAUUAUACAGAAGUCCAAUAAUUUGAGUCUAUAAUUCUGGCCGAGAGUCUAAUAAUUUAAGUUCUGAUAUAAUUUUGACUAUGUAUUCACUCACAUUUAUAUGUGAUUGCAACUAUAAAUAACAAUAAGUUAUUUAAAAUAACCAUAUCACAAACAAAAAGACAGUUCCGUUCUCAGUAAAUAGUGAGACAUGAAAAAGUCAUAUUUACCUGCCCAGGGGCCCGGCAUGUGUAGAACCGAGCAAAUAUUUUAUUUUGUUGUGCUUUUCUUUUAAAAUCAUUUACAAAACUAAAUCUAAGCAUAUGACUAAUUGUUCAUUUUCUGCCUAUCAUUAUAUACCAAAUGAUUAACCAAACGUAUUAUGUUGCUAUCAGUGCUAUACCACCUAUGAACAAUAGAAAUUAUGUAGUCGAGUUAAGAGCUAUAUAGAGUAUUGCAAGGAUUUUCAUAUUGCUGGAAACAUCCGCUACUUUAUAUUCUUCCUGAUCUCCAUCAUGAGAGCUUGCUCCUAUUAUGAGAAAAGAAUAAGAUAUUAAAUAUUCUUAAUAGAAAAUAUUUACUACUACAAGUCUCACACCAAGAAUUUGAAAUAUAUCAUGAUACAAAAAUAAGCUAGAAAGAGAGAACAUAGACACAAGCCAAGUAUCUAUGCAAAUCAAUUACUCUAGAGUACUAUAUCCAAGUGUAUGAGUCACGCUAGCAAUGUCUUUAAAAGCAAAGACGUCGUUACUACAAUCUACUUAUGCAUCAUAAAACUAAUGCAUUCUCAAAAGUAUAAGGGGUCCUCAGAUCCUUAAGAUUAAACCGGUUAACAAUUAUAAAAACAUUGAAGAAAUGUUAAUUCUUAUUUUUUUUUAAUAAGCUAAUGCUAACAACUAUAUAAAUAUGUUUAAAAUUUAAUGCAAAUGAUCUCCAGAAAUGUUUGUCUACAUUUACUUACCCUCAAACAAAAGAAAGAAGUAAGCCCAAUUACAUGAUUAGCAAUGUCUAAAAAGUUUAUUAAAAUAUACAGUUGUGACGUAGGUUCAUUGAUACAAUUUUUAUCACCACUAAAAGAAUAAAAUAUGGACUGACAUGACAUUUCUUUAUAUCAUCUCAGCAUUAUUUUAGAGUAGGUGCUUGGCAAUAAACUUAUUUUAUUUACCCGUCAAGUUAUUGUUGCUCAUGACCCAAUACAUACCUCAAUCAUCGGAGUCAUUAAUCAAAUAAAAAAAUAUCCUUCUAGAUAUAGUUAGCUCAAAAUAAUACUUAAUCUUCACCCUUCUGAUUAGAAGUUAAUCAACAUGGAAUCGGAAUGCUUGAUAAAUCAAGUAACAUCAAUAACUUUUUUGUGUUAUUCUGUCCGCAAGAGCAUCGCAUGUUUGAAACGGAUUCAGUCCAGGUAAUAUAUUUUUCUUUUUCAAAUUUUUGGUAUGUCCUUGACAUCAACAUGUGACACAUAUCCAAUUUGCAAUGAUUUAUGAACAAAGAAAAUAAAAAAGUUAUACCAUAUAACAGUUACGAAAUAACUCCACAUUAAUCAUGCUAAACCAUCCUUUCUCUGUCCCAAUUUAUGUGUUAUAUUUUUUUUUAUUCCGUCCCAAAAAGAAUGUCAUACUUCUUUAUUUAGAAAGAGUUUAACUUUAAAUUAAAGCACAAAAGCAAGCACACACAACAAAUUACGUGCAGAGAUUUAGACCUUACCGUCAUAAAGAUAAACAUAAUACGUGAAGAACAACAUAUUGUGGGAUCAAAGAAAGGGUACCAAGAUAGAUAAUUUAUAACCUUUCUGAAAGUGAUGGAGGAGGAGCGUCGAGUCUUCCAUGACCAUAGCAAGUAAAUAUUUUUCUAUCUUUUGAGUACUAACAUAUUUCAAUAAGGUAAAUUCAAAGUGGGAACAAAGCUUGAACAUUCUCUGAAAAGUCAGAAAUUGAAAAGAAGAUAGAUAAAGGAGAAAUGAUAUUAAACGAUUGUCAUUAAACUCAUUUAUAAAAUGAGUUAGAUGAAUUAUGAUGGUUAGAGAAGAUAUGUGUUUUAAGUUUAACACAAAGUUAACAUAUUUUCUAAUUCUUAUUCUGCUUCAGUAGUUAUUAAAUUUGAUAAAAUAUCAAAUGAGGACAAAGCAAUGAGGUAGAGUGAUCUUCCUAUAAUUAUUAAUCAAUAUAAAGUCUUCCCACAACACGAUAAAAUGUAUUAUGUUUUUUUGGUUUAUCUAAAUAAAUAGAGAAAAAUAGGAGAAAUGAGAAGGUGUUAUCACCACCAUUAUAACAAAAAGGAAAGAAAGAUAGACUAUAGGCUAUAUUCAAUUUUUUGAGAUAUGAUUGAAUUUUGUGGCAGAGAUAUAAAGUUCUUCUAGAUUGUUCUUUCCGAUGAAAGAAGAUGUGAUGUAAAUUGCAAGCGAUUGACUCCUCGAGAUGGAGAGACCACAAGGAUAGAAAGUUCUCUGUCAAACAGAGUAUAUUGCUUUUGAACCUACAAACUGUGUAGCCAUGAUCUAUCAAAGCUCAAGAUUCAAAAAGGGAGAAUCUAGAAGUUUAAUGUAAAGUAAUUUCUUUCAAUAAAUUCAUCAAACACUUAUUGCACAAAAAUGUUUAACCUAAAAAUGUAACAAUGUGACAGUUAUGUAAAGUUCCCUUAAAACUAACUCAAGCUUCAGGUAGCAUCACCCACAUGUCCCAUAUUAAACCCAGUUCCAACGGUAUUGUUCUUUAGAGGCAAAAAGAAAAAGCAAAAAAACCAAAUGAAAAGAAACUUAAAUCAAAUUUAACUAAAAAUUUAACCAGUCGCUUAGACCACAUAGACCACAAAUGAAAGCAGAAGUAUUAUAUUGAUAGAGUCUGCAUAUGAAGACAAAAAUUAAACAUGAGAUAUAAAGAAAAAAUAAAAUGCACAAAAAAAAAUCCAAAAUAAAUAACAACACUAACAAAGGAUAAUAACAGACAAAAAAUAAAACAAAAUAGAAGAAAGACUGAAACAGAAAAUAGCUCACACAUUAACCUGAACCUUGUAACACUCAAAGUAGAAGACCCAUAAAUAUAGAUACUUCAACCAAGAAGCUGAUAAAAUAGGAGAAAAUCCAUUGAAAAAAAGUAAUAACAGAAGAUUGAAAGAGAGAGGAGGAUGAAUUGAAAAGAAGUGGAAGAAGAUUUAAUCAAAAAUUAUGGUAAAACUCCAAGCCGAGAAGAUGAAGGGAAAGUGAGAGAGUUAAGAAAGAACAUGAAAGUGUGGACGGUUCUAGAAUAUGUGGCAUCGUAUGAAAAAUAAAAUGACAGAAUAAAAUAACAAUUCUACCCUUGAUCGACCAAGCAUGACUUUUCUAUAUAAUAGAAAUUUUCAGACAUAUUAAUAUACUACACUGGAUGUCUAUAACUUUUAAAGGAGUAAUACUCGUUAUCUUUUUCAUAAAUUACAUAAUAACUCCCGUUACUCUACUAUUUUUAUUUAUAAUUUUCACACCUCCAUAACCAUCCCAUCCCCGUGAUCUCCCCCAUGAUCCAAAUGGUUAAUACCAUGUUUAAAACAACCUUAUUGUAAGCCUCUAUAUAAUCUUAUAAAUAGCGUAUUGGAAAUCACGUAGUAUACACUUGAAAAAUACGUGAUGAAAUAAAAAAGUUCUCUCUUUCCUCUCUACAUCUCUUGCCUAUUUUCUCGUUUUAUAUUAUUACUUUAAACUUAGUUUUUUGAACACUGAAGUAUUAAAAUACUAUUUUAAGUAUUCAAAAAUAGAGAAUUUAGUUGAGAUCAAAUUUUGAGGGACAUACCAAAUAAAAGCUUGCUUCCCUAUUAAGAGUAUCUGCAAAGGCGCUAUAUUAUGUACGAGGGUACGAGCGGCACACUCAAAUAACGGUAUUGAUGGCCAAGAUUAUUAUCAUUAUUUUUGUAAUAAAUUGAUGUCUGGAUUAACUAGUUGGUAAGCACUUUAACUACUUUAUCAAAUGUUUGUUACUUUUCGCUAAAAUAUAUACAAGUAAAUCAAAAUUUGAACAUACAAAGAUAAUAGUAGUAAUAUUUUUACCUCAAAAUAUUAAACAUUAAUCACUCAUUAUUUUCAUCUCACUUUAGUUAUAUUAGAUCAAGCCUCUACGUGCACUGGCUAAGAUCUUAAUCUAUUAACCAGAUGAUUAACUUAGGGGUAAGUAUUUUUAUCUCCACUUGAAUCUCGUGGAGUUAAAUAGUGAUCGUUUGAUCAAGCCUUUACGUGCACCGGCCAAGAUUUCAAUCUAUUGACGAAAAGAUGAUUAGCUUAAAGAGUCCGUUUGGACAUAAAAAAAUUUCAUUUUUUUUCGAAAAAUUUUCACCUUUUUUUCAAAAUCAGUGUUUGGUCACAAAUUUUUUAAUUUUCACCUGAAUAUGAAUUUUAAAAUUUUUCGAAAAUUUAAAAAAUUCCAAAAAGUUUGUUAAAAAUUUAAAAACAAUUCAAAAUUAUAUUCAUGUCUGAAAAUAAUUUUAAUUUUCCAAUACUAUUUUUACUUUAAUUUUUUUUUUACUUUUUUCAGAAUUUUACAAUUCUUAUGUCAAAACGCCAUAAGCAUUUUCAUCUCCAUUUAAAUCACGUGGAGUUAAUAGUGAACUAACGUGUUAGGGAAAAAAAAAAUGAAAAGACCUUUGUUACGUUGCGUGCUAGUAACUUUUUUUUCUUCUUUUUCAUGACGUUGCGUGCUAAGUUUAUAAAUAGAAAUAGUAUUAACUUACCUACCUACCAGUCCUUCCCUUUGACUUCUAUCAAGUUUUAGCCCUUUUCUCUCUCUCUUUCACCAUCUGUACAUCUCCCUAAUCCGAAUCCUAAUAGUGCAAACUUUCAAUGGGGACCGAAAAUUCUGGAACAGUGGAGAUAACGGAGCCAUUGCUAGAGGAACCCUCCAAAAUCCCCGAUUCCAAUUUGGACGAUUCGGAAACUAUCCCUUAUUGGAAGGAUCAGAUCACGAUCAGAGGCCUAGUGGUGAGUGCAGUGCUUGGGACUCUCUUCUGUAUCAUCACUCACAAGCUCAAUCUCACUGUUGGUAUCAUUCCUUCUCUCAAUGUCGCUGCUGGUUUGCUGGGUUUUUUCUUCGUCAAAUCAUGGACCGGUUUUAUGUCCAAGCUGGGCUUUUCUGUUCAACCCUUUACUAAGCAAGAGAACACCGUUAUUCAGACCUGUGUUGUUGCUUGCUAUGGCCUCGCUUUUAGUGGUAUUGCCCUAUUCUUAUCUGAUUUUUAUUUAAUUAAUUAAACAAAGAGCAUGAGUAUUGAAAUGAAAUGGGUCUAAAUAGAGCGGAACAGAUAAAGAGGAUUCAUAUAGUCGACCACAACUAGUUUAGGGUGAGGCAUAGUUGAUUGAUUGAUUGUAUUAAACAGAAACUCUUGGGUUUUAUUAUUAUUAUUAGCUGAUGUUGCCUUCUUCUCGACGUUCUAUUUUGGAUGUUUAGUUUUCUUUUUAGGAGCAUCAAUCAAUUCUUGCAUUUGGCAUGGUGAAUUCCUAUCAUUUCAUUCGCGAGCAUAAUUUUCAGUUUUUGUUUCGCAUUUACUCCUUGAUUUGAAGGGCCAGUAACCAAGGAUUUUUGGAUGUUGUCAACGAGCCAGAGGCGGAUCCACGAUUUAAAUCUUAUGGGUUCAAUUUUAAGAUUUUUAACAUUGAACCCAUUAUAUUUUUAAAGUUAUGGGUUCAUAUCUACUAUUUUUGCAAUUUUAAUAAAUUUUUACAUACAAGUUUUUACUCCGAGUCGAAAGUUAUGGGUUCAGCUGAACCCGUAGCUAGUACGCUACAUCCGCCUCUGCAACGAGCUAGUACUAACUGUUAGAGAUCAAUCAAUCAGUCAACUAUAUCUCAAUCACAAACUAAGUGAGGUCGAUUAUAUAAUUUCUCCAUACAAUUAGUCAUAAUGUGUUGAAACCAACUUUAGAGGACAGACCUUUAAUUUUGUUAGAAGCGUAUGAGGAAACGUACAAAUUUAAAAUUCACAUCUUCCCCUUUUGCCACCACAGGAGGAGACUAGCUGUGGUGACAGAUGAAUCUUUCAUCCUGUAUAAAAUUUACAUUUACUUAUAUAUAAGGAAUUUCAGUUGACUGGAAAACGGUUUGUCUCUCUACUUAUGGAACAAAAAUGAGGAGUAUUUAUCACCCUAGAGAAAUGAUGAUGAGUUUCUGUGUAAUUUAUUGGUUACUAGGACUUCUUUCAGUUCUAUAGGAUGAUGAGGACUUAACAAUUCUCGUACUUUUAACUUUUUAAGCUUAUCAUAUGUUUGAUUCUUGUUACCUUAUAUAUUUGCAGGUGGCUUUGGGUCAUACUUGCUAGCAAUGGAUGAGAAAACAUACAAGCUUAUAGGUCCUGAUUAUCCUGGAAACCGUGCAGAGGAUGUUAAGAAUCCAGGGUUAUUAUGGAUGAUGGGCUUUAUAUUUGUUGUUAGUUUCCUUGGCCUUUUUAGUCUUGUGCCUCUCCGUAAGGUACUUUCUGAUUCCGACCAUUUUUGGUAGUAGUUCAAUAGAUUGUUAAGGUUUGCAUGGUUUGAUUAAAAUGUCUCCGCAAUUUUUUCAUGUAAAAAAUCUGUUAUUAAUUAAUGUAAGGGAUGGAGAAGACAUAAAACAAAACUUUUGUCGAAUGGGGAACCAACACCACUACAUUACGCUUGAACUGUUAUAGCAACCACCGGCCAGCAAUGUCCUUUCUAUUUAUUUACUUGUGCUAUUCUAUGAAAUGCUUCUUUUGAAAGUUUUCUGUAGCUAUAUUGUAUUAAUUGAAUAAAUUUUGGGCAUAUGCUCCACAUCCUUGUUGCUCAUAUGUUGAUUGGGAUUCAAAUAUCUAUCUGACAAAUUUAAUUCUCUUUUAAAUGUAAUUUCAGGUUAUGGUUAUGGGUUAUAAGCUCACAUACCCUAGUGGAACCGCCACUGCCAUGCUAAUAAAUAGCUUCCACACAAAUACUGGUGCUGAACUUGCAAGGCAAGAGAUUCAUUACUAUGUUCAUUUCUGUAUCUAAUUUCAUAAAGAUGCUACAUCUUUGGGCUAGCUACCUGAUUGAUGAUAGAAGUGCAGAAGGUGUCUAGUAAGAUAAGACCGGUUAAACUUAUUUAAUGCUUAAUGGUCCUUAUCAGCAAGAGAGAGUCUUGGUGAUUGGUGUACUUGAGAAUAAAGUUGUACAUGAACAUCACCAAAUAAUUAGCAUCGCCUUUUCUUCUCUGGCUUUUGGAGUCAUUCAUUUUCUUCUUCUCGGGUUCAGACGUUAAUGAAUAUAUGUUUUUUCGCAUUUAUCUUUUUUCCCCAGUCGGGUCGGGGGGGGGGGGGGGGGGGCGGGCGCUUUAACCAUUCAAUCAUUUCUAUGGUCCUAGGAGAACUUACUUCGAAACAUCUUGUGCUCUAUGAGUAUCACAAGUAUCACUUGUUGUCACAGGAAUCAAGUUGGCCGUCUAGGAAAAUAUUUGAGCAUAAGUUUCUGCUGGAGCUGUUUUAAAUGGUUUUUCAGUGGUAUUGGCGAUGCAUGUGGCUUUGACAAUUUUCCCACCCUUGGGCUGACCCUAUUCAAGAACACGUAAGUAUAUUCUUCUAAUAUCUGCAAUUCUUGUAUUCCUUGCUAUAUUUUCUUGAUCUGGAAUAGGGGCAAGGUAAAAGCUCUUUUUCUUCCUUUUUUUUCUCUAUUCAGAUUGAUUAUUUUUUAUUCUUAAGCUAAUAAUUUCCAUGGGUUAGCUGAGAAGAGAAUUAUUGUAGCUUUAUAGCCUGUUUGGCCAAGCUGGAAAAAUCAACUUAUUUUGAGAAGUGCUUUUUCUGAAAGUGCUUUUCGAAAAAGUACUUUUGGAGAAAAACAAUUUAUGUUUGGCUAAUCAAUUUAAAAAGUACUUUUGAGCAACAAUUUGUGUUUGACCAAGCUUUUCAAAAGUGCCUUUAAGUAUCAAAUUAUAAAUAUGGACAUGAAAAGAUUUAUUCAAUAGUUAAUAUUGUAUAAGUUAUUAAAUAAUCACAAAUAUUUAUUAUUAAAGACAAUAAUUAAGUUUUUUAUUUUAUUUAAGUAAAAUAUACACAUAAAAUUGAAAAGUACGUUAUUCUUUUAAGAAGAUUUAAAUAUAUAAAAAAUCAUUCAGCAAAACCCAAAAGUCAUUAUAUAUUAUUUGAUAGUUUAAACUAAGGUUAUUUUGGUAUAUACAACAUUUUGCUAAGGAUAUUUUUGGUAGGAAGAAAAUUCAAAACUGCUUCUGGGGAGAAGCUAUUUUUUUCUGCUUCUUAAAAGCUGCUUCUGCUUCUCCCGAAAAGUACUUUUUUUUUUCUCCCAAAAGCUUGGCCAAACACCUCAAGUUAGAGAAAAAUACUUUUUUGAGAAGCACUUUUGGCCCUGGAAGAAGCUUGGCUAAACAGGCUAUUAGAUUGGAAUGAGAAAGCAGCUAGAUUUAUGCUUUUGUGAACAAUUGUUCAUUUUCAAGAGGAGGAAACACUUGCAAUAGUUCUUCGAGCACAAUAUAUGUUAGGCUGCUAGAACACCCGCAUUAUUUGAAUUCUAUAGAUGCCAUGAUUUUGGUGCUACUGCUAAAUUAGAGGCUGUGAAAAUUUCUUUUUCCGUUGGCUCUUCUGUAUGAUCUCUUAUGGAUGCUUGCCCUAUUUUUUAAUGUUUACAUAUUAUGUUUAACUUUUAUUUUGUCACUAGAUAUUCUCUGUCCUUGGUUUUUGUUAUAGUAAAUUGAGGCCGAGAGAGAAACACGACCCGAAGCCUUGUAGUAUGACUAUGAAUUCAUUUUCCCUGUUUUCUCCCUCUUCCCCUACCUGCUGGAACUAAAACUAUGACCUUCUUGUUAAAGAAUGGAUUCGCUAUUGAUGUUUUGGCUCUUACACAGUCGUCAUCCUGCAGGUUCUAUUUUGAUUUUAGUCCAACUUAUGUUGGAUGUGGACUUAUCUGUCCUCACAUAGUCAACUGUUCAGUUCUCUUUGGAGCUAUUAUAUCAUGGGGUGUACUGUGGCCAUUGAUCUCCCAACGUGCUGGUGACUGGUACCCAGCAGACCUUGGAAGCAAUGAUUUCAAAGGUCUCUAUGGAUAUAAGGUGUGUACUUACUGAUAACUAAUUCUAGCUGAUGCACAUCCGAAACACGAUAACUCUGUAAUGCUGUCUUAGUGGGCGUUUGGACAUAAGAAUUGUAAAAUUACAUAAAAAAGUGAAAAAACAAUUCAAGCGAAAAUGGUAUUUGAAAAUUAGAGUUGUAUUUGGACAUGAAUAUAAUUUUGGGUUGUUUUUGAAGUUUUGUGAGUGAUCUUAGUGAAAAUUUUGAAAAACAGUUUUUUGGAGUUUUUCAAAUUUUCGAAAAAUUCCAAAAUGCAUCUUCAAGUCUUGGGCCUGAUUUGUGCAUAACUCAACUGAAAAUGGCAUUAAUCCAAACCUUUAAACCCUAAAAAUUUUAUGACCAAACGCUGAUUUCGAAAAAAAGUGAAAAUUUUUCGAAAAAAAUUGAAAAAAUUCUUAUGUCCAAACGGGCUCUUAAUGUGCAACUCUAAGAGUAAUGUACUUCAAGAAAGAUUGUAUAAACUUUCUCAAGCUAUUCCUGUACUUCAUUUUGGCAGAAAAUGAGGUAAGACAAGGAAGGAAUGAAAAAGAGAAAGAUAAGAGGAAAUUUAUGUUAGUGGAUUCCUUGCCUAUGGUUCUUGUCAGCGUAGAGUAUAAGGAUUUGUAGUCGACUAUAUAGCAAUGAGAGAUAUUUUCAAAUGUUAGGGUACUUCUAAUUUGCCAAAAUACUUCUCAAGCAUAGAAUCUGCAAUUUCAUUGCAGGAUUUGAAUGCAUAACAUUCAAUUUCUUCAAUUCCAGCUUGAUAGCUGUAUUUUCAUAAAGUCUGCUUUAUCUUUCUGGUCUCAAUGCUUUUGUGCGACGACUGGCCAUUGGUCCUAUGUAGGCUUGCUCUGUCUAUGACAUAAGAUUGUUGGUAGAGUUAGAAAUUGUGAUACUCAAGAAGUCAGUUGACAUUGUAGUUGGGAAUUUUGGUGGAAUGCCCACUGACAGGGGUGCCUCCCCCUCGGUUGCGGGGUGCUGGAUCCAGGAUGUAUCUGCUUGCCUACUCCGAAGCUGUAGGCUAGAAGCAAUUACAACACCCUUGACAUGUAACAUCACUGAAGAUAUGCACUUCUUAAAUCAUAAAAGUAAAGAAAUUGCUGUAUCUUUAUUUUUCUGGAAAAUUCUACAUGUAGGACGAUAGUGCACUGUCAACAGAAGAUUGCCGUUCAGUAAUCAGCAAUUUACAAGCUCCUUUUCCCCAACUUAAGAGUCCAAAGUCCUCAUUAGAAGCAUGUUUUUUAUAUGCUUCCCGCGUUUUACUAAAAGCUCUCUAGGUGUGAGACAGCUAAGAUAUGAGCAUUGUCCUCAUAUGUCACCUCUUAAUGGUGAAAUGGACCUGGAAGAAAUGAGAAUCUUCAGCUUAUCUUUUUUCCGCUAGAGAUUUGUUAUUUUACUGUUGCAGCCCUAGAGAUUUAUUGACCUCAUUUAUCAUGUUGUCUUCUAGCAAAUCAUUUUAAGGCGCAUUCAUAGUAUCACAAGUACGCUUAUUCUAUUAUUCUUUCCCCUAGAGAACUGGCCGUAUACUUCCUUUGAUGUACUUAAAAUCUUCCCAUAUACUUCUGUUGGUGUUAUUAUAAUCUUCAUUUUCUUUCCUUCGUUUGCAGGUAUUCAUAGCCAUCUCCCUCAUACUUGGAGAUGGGCUUUACAAUUUAGUUAAGAUAGUUGCAAUCACCAUAAGGGAAAUUUUUAAAAGUAGCAGCACACAGAAGGAUCUUCCCUUGGUCAUGGAAGUCAUUGGUAGGCCUUAAUUGACCAAGUAUUUGGUAUUUAAUUACUGAGAACAACAUUACCUAUUUGACUGCAGUAUAGUGAUAAAAUUACAAAUUGCUACAUCAAAACUCCAAAUUGAUAAACAAAUGGUUCACUCGUAAUGAUGAGAAAACAAGCUGCUGGGAUCUGAAAAGAUUUAAGCUUCUUCUUUCUGCUUGGUUAUUAUGUCAAUGCAAUUGAGGAACAGUGAUCAAGCAGAGGAAAAGGUUGAUGUCAGCUUUUGCACUGACUUAUUCCCAUUUCUGUAAUUGCUUUGUGAACCAAUUAAUCAAUUUUGAAAGCCUCUGUUACUGCACUAUUAGAAGGGCGAACACUUUUUUUUGUUCGCUCUAAAAUGAACUUGAGAGGUUACUACUUUAUGGGGUAUGUAAUGUUUCUUGAUUUUGUCUAUUCAUAUUCUUACAGGUGGUGAGAGUUCCAUACUAGAAUUGGAAAGGAAGAAGCGCAACGAAGUUUUUCUGAAAGAUAGGAUACCGUUUUGGUUUGCUGCAUCUGGAUACGUUGCCCUGGCGGCAAUAUCUACAGCCGCAAUGCCAAUGAUAUUUCCUCCUCUGAAGUGGUAUUUGGUCCUUUGCUCAUACGUUAUUGCCCCUGCCCUUGCCUUCUGCAACUCCUACGGCACAGGACUUACAGACUGGAGCUUGGCUUCAACUUAUGGUAAAAUUGGUCUUUUUAUGAUUGCGUCACUGGUAGGAAGCAAUGGUGGGGUCGUAGCAGGAUUGGCAGCAUGUGGAGUUAUGAUGUCCAUAGUCUCCACAGCUGCUGACUUAAUGCAAGACUUCAAGACGGGGUAUCUUACACUAUCAUCAGCUAAAUCAAUGUUUGUGAGUCAGUUGGUGGGAACAGCAAUGGGUUGCAUUAUUGCGCCCCUCACAUUCUGGAUGUAUUGGAAUGCUUUUGACAUUGGGUCUCCUGAUAGUCCAUACAAAGCACCAUAUGCUGUCAUUUACCGAGAGAUGGCCAUUCUGGGGAUUGAGGGAUUCUCCGAACUUCCAAAGCAUUGCCUUGCAUUGUGUUGUGGGUUUUUUGUGGCAGCUCUGGCCAUAAACCUCUUGAGGGAUGUUACGCCAGCAAAAUUCUCCCAAUUCAUCCCUAUUCCAAUGGCGAUGGCUGUUCCAUUCUAUAUUGGGGCCUACUUUGCAAUUGACAUGUUUGUUGGCACAGUGAUAUUAUUUGUAUGGGAGAGGAUAAAUAAGAAGGAUGCAGAAGAUUUUGCUGGUGCUGUUGCCUCUGGUUUGAUAUGUGGCGAUGGGAUUUGGACCAUACCAUCAGCUAUCCUCUCUAUCUUCAGGAUUAACCCACCAAUCUGCAUGUACUUUGGGCCUUCUGUGAGCACCUGAACAAGUGUAUGCCUUGUAGCAUUUGCAAUUCUUUCUUUAGUCUUAUCAGAAAAACCUCUCGGAUUGUAAAUAUUCUGUUUAAGUAUUUCUCCAAUCAUUUGUACCUGUAAAUGUGCACCAGAUGUUAUAAACUUGGUAGUGUCAUACAUGAAAAUGAAUUACCACUUCAUUAGGUAUU
This 38752-nucleotide long non-coding RNA is filed under the name Nicotiana tabacum (common tobacco). Its description in RNAcentral is "long non-coding RNA (NTAB_LNC017072)". The record is from RNAcentral. Lineage: Eukaryota; Viridiplantae; Streptophyta; Magnoliopsida; Solanales; Solanaceae.